GUCUAAGGCAAUAGUACUCUGAACACACCUGAUCUCGUCUGAUCUCGGAAGCUUAGCAAGGUCCGGCCUGAUUAGUACUUGGAUAUGAGAAAUCUACCAGUAUCAAAAUAUCUGUGGGCA
This 120-nucleotide ribosomal RNA is filed under the name Castor canadensis (American beaver). Lineage: Eukaryota; Metazoa; Chordata; Mammalia; Rodentia; Castoridae. The record is from RNAcentral.